Molecule: ribosomal RNA, 253 nt
Filed under: uncultured bacterium
Lineage: Bacteria
Description: partial 16S ribosomal RNA
Rfam family: Bacterial small subunit ribosomal RNA
Source: RNAcentral
UACGUAGGGUGCAAGCGUUAAUCGGAAUUAUUGGGCGUAAAGCGCACGCAGGCGGCUGAGUCAGUCGAUUGUGAAAGCCCUGGGCUUAACCUGGGAAUUGCAGUCGAUACUACUCAGCUAGAGUAUGGGAGAGGGUAGUGGAAUUCCCGGUGUAGCGGUGAAAUGCGUAGAUAUCGGGAGGAACAUCAGUGGCGAAGGCGGCUACCUGGCCCAAUACUGACACUCAGGUGCGACAGCGUGGGGAGCAAACAGG